UACGUAGGGACCAAGCGUUGUUCGGAUUUACUGGGCGUAAAGAGCUCGUAGGCGGCGUGUCAAGUCAGUUGUGAAAUCUCCGGGCUUAACUCGGAACGGUCACUUGAUACUGAUGUGCUAGAGUGCAGAAGGGGCAAUCGGAAUUCUUGGUGUAGCGGUGAAAUGCGUAGAUAUCGUAAGGAAGACCAGCGGCGAAGGCGGGUCUCUGGACAGUACCUGACGCUGAGGAACGAAGGCGAGGGGAGCAAACGGG
This 253-nucleotide ribosomal RNA is filed under the name uncultured bacterium. RNAcentral describes it as "partial 16S ribosomal RNA". It matches the Rfam family "Bacterial small subunit ribosomal RNA", at positions 524 to 776 of the family's 1533-position model. The record is from RNAcentral.